AUUUGGCCAAGUCGCUGAGCUCCAUGUCGCCGAAGGCUUCCCAAGGGCAAACCACUGUGAUGUCUGUGCCGAGGCCCUCCAUGCCGGGGAUGUCGUCGCCAAAGCUGCAGGAGAGAAAGCAAAUAGUCACAUGGGCCCCGCCAAGGGUCAAACGUCUCCGCCGAAGUCAGCGUGCUCCUCCCCGCCCCUUUUCCUGGCUGCGUUUGUCCUCGUUCCCAUCAGGCGUCCCUCCCUCCUGAUGGGUAGACGACGUCAAAGACCCUUCUGGAAGGAUUUGAUGGGGCUUAAUCCCUCUAAAGCCCAGCACGCCUGAGCUGUGUUCUGAGGUCCAUGUGAGGUGCUGCGUUCACCUGCGGAGCCCCCAGUAAACACAAGACAAACUCUGUAUUCAGAUAUGUUCUGUUUGUAAAAUACAGAUGAAUCUUCGCUCUGUGAUAACAGUUGCAUGUCGGCGUGUUGGAGGAGAUUUGCAUUUCUCAAAAUGUGUUUGGACGGAGCUUUGCAUUGAUUUGAUUUUGACUGUGAGCCGAAGUGGCAAACUGCCUAACAUCUCUUCAUGGUAAAGUGGUGUUAUAUGUGUGCAUGAGCUCUUUAUAGACCGGUAUUUUUUACUUCCUAUCACUUCCAAAACCACAAGGAUUCAACAUUUAAGAGCGUAUUCUAAUAUAUAUUCUGUAGUGAAUCCAAGUUCUCUGCUCCUGAUUCACACGUGGAGAUUGUUGAUUUACCGGGAGAACAAGAAGGGGAAGGUAUUUCAGCAGACAUUUCUGUUUUUAAAAUGACCCAACAAUCCAUUCAUUGGAACCCAAGGGAAGGUCACAGACCGGCAAAACGUAACCACACAGACACGGGGAAAGUUCCUCGUGCCGUUCUUUAAUUCUCGAUUUCCUAUAUGUACUAAUUCUAUCUUGAUAAAUCUCAGACAAAAGAUGAAUCAGAAUUAAUCAGAAUCAGGGGGAAUCAGAAGGAUGAUAGCAAAUUGCUCAUAAUUACAACAACAUAUUUAAUAUAUUCUGUCUGUAGCGUUGACAUUAAUUAACUCCAGUGAAAAUGGAAGCAAGGGCUACAAAAUGGCUUUUAGAAGAAUGAGGCAAGCGAGUCGUUUUCAAUAUAUAGUGAAAUUGGUGUGCUGGUCUGGGAUUGGCUAAUGCUCCGCAUUAAUCCGCUGAGGUCUUGACGCCACCAUGGCCCUAAGGCAGCGCGGUGCAAAGGCUAAGCCUGUUUAACGGUGGGGUUUGUGGCUGCGGAUAGCGAGUAGCUGUCCUCUUUAACCACGCAGACCUUUAUAUAUAUAUAUAUAUAUAUAUAUGUCUGGAGGUUGGGGCGAGUUCACCACGCUCCAUGCUCCAUCAACGUGACGGCGGUGCUGCCAAACUAGGGUUGUUUGCAGGAAACUGAGUUCCUCAGUAAAAACAAUGAACUGGACUUACAUGGACUUAGUACACGGUGAGUUGUUGACACCUCCAGACUGCAGGUCAUAAAUCAGCCUUGCAGCCCUUUCGUCUUAUUUCAGCUGGAUUGAGCUAAUACCUCGGCCACUAAUUGGAUUAACGAAGGGACUUACUGUUGAAGAACGAUGUGACGCAGGCGGUGCGUCAUUAUGUGCUUGGGUGUGUUAAGCAUCAUUGUCUACAUUUUACUGCAUGUCAAACACCAGCGAAGUGCGAUUUUAACAAAUAAAUCUGUUCUUUCUUGAAGCUCAUGAA
Non-coding RNA from Gasterosteus aculeatus aculeatus (three-spined stickleback), 1706 nucleotides. Lineage: Eukaryota; Metazoa; Chordata; Actinopteri; Perciformes; Gasterosteidae. The record is from RefSeq and is a predicted model, not a curated record.